This is a small nuclear RNA of Argiope bruennichi, 116 nucleotides long. RefSeq annotates it as U5 spliceosomal RNA. The record is from RefSeq and is a predicted model, not a curated record. The transcript has a single exon. Lineage: Eukaryota; Metazoa; Arthropoda; Arachnida; Araneae; Araneidae.
AUGCUCUGGUUUUUCUUUAAUAUCCUGCUAAUCUUUCACCUUUUACUGAUGAUUAACGUGGAGAAGAACAACCUAAUGAGUCUUAUCCAAUCAAUGUUCUCAGUAUUUGUGCGAUG